GGUUAAUAAAAUGUCGAACUUUUUUCAUCUUCCCCUUUCCCUCGCCGCCCUAGCUCUGCCUCUCCGCAACAUAUCUCUCUUUCUCUCCGCACCCACCGCCACCGGCCGUAGGACUCUUCUCUGCCUCUCCGCACUUAAUGCCUCCGGCCGUAGGACUCCUCUCUGCCUCUCCUUACUCGCCCGUCGUUGGCCGCAGGACUCUCCGUCUCUUCGCAUCGCAGGACCACAGAACGAGUAAGCAAGCCCUCCGCUAACCACUCCAUACUCCGCAUCAAACCAAAAGGUCAAAGCCAAAGGCAUUAUUUCUCAUGAGAAGUUAUGCUCGACAGAUCAACCAUUUCAUUCUCCUUGGCUAUCAGGUGGCCCUGUUUGUACAAAACCUAUCAGAACCUGGUGACAGAGUUAAAGUUGAUGAACCUAUUUCUCAGAUGAAACUGACAAGGUUUCAAGUGCUAUUCAUAUCUUAUUUAAAACAUUUUUUUACUUAAUUAAGUUUUUAUCCAUAGUCCUUUAGUCAACUCUUAUAAUUUUAUUUGUAUAUGUUUUAGGUAACUAUUGAUGUUGCUAGUCCUGAUGUUGGAAUUAUUCUUGGAGGAUCUAUUUUUUAUUUAUGCUUUGUUUAUAUUCUAACAUUUUUUUCUCAGGGAACUUUUGAAUUUUUAUAUGAUUGAUAGUUUAUUGUCAAAGAAGGCGAGAUAGUGGCUCUUGGGACGAAAGUUGUUAUCUCUAAGUCUGCUCCUAGUGACACUCAUGUAGCGCCAUCAGAAGAGAUAGUCGGUAAGGAUACUUCACCUGCUGUUCCUAUCGAGAAGAACAAAGAUACACAAGUGUCUAAAGUGGAAGCUCCAGUCAAAGAGAAGUCAACUAAUUUAUAGUGUUAUGUGAUUGAUAUAUAUUCUACUGAUUUGUAUGGAUUAAAAGUUUAAUCAUUGUUAUAUAUGUACUAGCUAGUUUGUUAGAGAUUUCAUAUCUUGUUUUGGAUGUUCAUUCCUUAUAUUUUGGUAUAAUGAAAGAUAAUGACUUUUAUUA
Long non-coding RNA from Zingiber officinale, 1029 nucleotides. RefSeq lists it as uncharacterized. NCBI's taxonomy places the organism in Eukaryota, Viridiplantae, Streptophyta, Magnoliopsida, Zingiberales, Zingiberaceae. The transcript has 4 exons. The record is from RefSeq and is a predicted model, not a curated record.